Molecule: long non-coding RNA, 943 nt
Organism: Neopsephotus bourkii (Bourke's parrot)
Lineage: Eukaryota; Metazoa; Chordata; Aves; Psittaciformes; Psittacidae
Exons: 3
Source: RefSeq, a predicted model, not a curated record
UUUUGUGGUGUUUUUCUACUCUGCGACAAACUGAAAAGAUUCUCGCACAUGCUAAUUUAACAACCCUGCUUCGUCGUCUUCUUUCCCCCCCUCCCUCUUCUGCUUCCAGGAUAAUUAAAAGAGAAACCUGUAAAGGCAACAUUCCUUCAAGCAAGUUGGCGCUGCAACGUGCUGGCUCUUGUCAGCAGGGCAGAGCUGAGUGUCCAGCAGAAGUCCCAUCAGCAAGGGAUCCUCAACAUACUUCAGGCUCAGUCCACUUCCAAAUUCAUUGCUGGUGGCAUCAUCUAAGACAUGAUCUUCCCAGAUCUCUCCAAACACAGCCAGACCCCUUCCACAGCCCAAAAGCUGGCCUCUGAUACAUAUAAAGCAGACAUAUUGAUCCAGGAUGGUUUCACCAUGCAAAUUCUAAACAAAUUCAUCCUGUUCAAGUGGACCAAGAGCAGACGAUACAGCAGAGAAACUGCAAGACAACUAGAAGACCGAAAUGCAAGCCUUCAUCCAGAAAGACUAUGAGGAUCGGCCUAAAGUCAGUUGACGAUAGGCUGAAUCUACCAGAAGCUCUUGGCCUGUGAAUGUAGGACAAAAAAAGCCAGAACAAAACUUCUAAGUGCUGGACAGUGUCGGAACUGCUACCAGCACCCAUUUCAGUAGGGGACAAAGCACUAUGGACCUGCAGGAAUUUUGUCCACUAAAACUUUUUUCCAAUACUUUAAGCUGUAUUUUCAGUUACUCGAAAAAAUGAUGUAUUCUGGAUCUUCUUCCAAUGACUGUGUUGGUUAGGGUCUACAUGGAUAUUUUCUGAAACAGGCCACGCAACUGUUAUUUUUCCCUCAAUGAUGUAAUACCUCUGCAACCAUAAUCAUUCCUUGUUCUUAGUGUUCUCAUAUUAGGCCUCAACUGAUGAACAUUCACUGUUUAUGAAAAAUAAAUGUGUUUCAGCUGG